RNAcentral lists this long non-coding RNA (738 nucleotides) under Homo sapiens (human). RNAcentral's name for it is "non-protein coding lnc-RFTN1-3:2". Lineage: Eukaryota; Metazoa; Chordata; Mammalia; Primates; Hominidae. The record is from RNAcentral.
CGCAGUUCUGGCCUUAGAUUAGGUCAGGGAGAGGGUGGCGGAGAGCCUCUGUCUCUCUGCCCGAUCCCUGCCUUAGGGUCCCAACCUGGGAUAUUUCUGUCGAGGAGGGGACUCGUUUUUUGUUUCCCAGGGCUUUUGGGGCGACCGAAGCUCGCCUGACCUUCCUAGGUGUUUCCCCUAAGUGACGCUUCUAGGGGAAAAUGAUGUCGGCAUUUCUCGCUGAAGGCCCUGGGGUUCUCACCCACCUUGGGGGGAAGGAAGAUUUGGAGAAUGGGGAAGACGUGGCAACGUGUCCUAGCUGCUCUCUCAUUAUAAAAGUGAUUUAUGACAAAGAUCAGUUUGUGUGUGGAGAAACAGUCCCAGCCCCUUCAGCCAACAAAGAAUUAGUUAAAUGCUGAAGAAGCCUUCAGGAAUCCAAAUCCUGAACAUUUGGAAUGAGCCCAGAUAGAAAUAUCGAAUGCAAAGCUACUGGCUUCACAGAGACAACCAUUUAUGAUUUGCUGUUCUGUAAGAGUGUGGAUUCUUUCUAUCAACUGCUGAUAUCAUCUUCAGGAAGCAAGUCCAUAACAUGACAUAUCUGGAUUUUGUGCUUAGAACCUUAAAUUGGAAGCAUUCUUAAUUAUGCAUCUAAAUUUAAAAGAAGAUAAUUUCAAAACAGUGCUUUCUUUCCCUUGGUUUCAUCAUUUUCAUAUCUUAAACCAAAUUACUUCGGUAUCUGACAACAGCAUCAUCUACCUC